GAUAAACGCUAGCGGCAGGCUUAACACAUGCAAGUCGAGGGGCAGCAUAGAUUGUAGCAAUACAAUUGGUGGCGACCGGCGCACGGGUGCGUAACGCGUAUGCAACCUACCCGUCACAGGGGGAUAAUCCGGAGAAAUCUGGUCUAAUACCCCAUAACAUAUGGAUCGGCAUCGGUUCAUGUUGAAAUUUUCGGAGGUGACGGAUGGGCAUGCGUAGCAUUAGCUUGUUGGUGAGGUAACGGCUCACCAAGGCGACGAUGCUUAGGGGGACUGAGAGGUUUUCCCCCCACACUGGUACUGAGACACGGACCAGACUCCUACGGGAGGCAGCAGUGAGGAAUAUUGGUCAAUGGGCGCAAGCCUGAACCAGCCAUGCCGCGUGCAGGAUGACGGCUCUAUGAGUUGUAAACUGCUUUUACAAGGGGAUAAAUCGGUGUACGUGUACACCGUUGAAGGUACCUUGGGAAUAAGGAUCGGCUAACUCCGUGCCAGCCGCCGCCGAAA
Molecule: ribosomal RNA, 504 nt
Filed under: uncultured bacterium
Lineage: Bacteria
Description: partial 16S ribosomal RNA
Rfam family: Bacterial small subunit ribosomal RNA
Source: RNAcentral